GACGAACGCUGGCGGCGUGCUUAACACAUGCAAGUCGAACGGAAAGGCCCUGCUUUUGUGGGGUGCUCGAGUGGCGAACGGGUGAGUAACACGUGAGUAACCUGCCCUUGACUUUGGGAUAACUUCAGGAAACUGGGGCUCAUACCGGAUAGGAGCUCCUGCUGCAUGGUGGGGGUUGGAAAGUUUCGGCGGUUGGGGAUGGACUCGCGGCUUAUCAGCUUGUUGGUGGGGUAGUGGCUUACCAAGGCUUUGACGGGUAGCCGGCCUGAGAGGGUGACCGGCCACAUUGGGACUGAGAUACGGCCAAGACUCCUACGGGAGGCAGCAGUGGGGAAUAUUGCACAAUGGGCGGAAGCCUGAUGCAGCAACGCCGCGUGCGGGAUGACGGCCUUCGGGUUGUAAACCGCUUUCGCCUGUGACGAAGCGUGAGUGACGGUAAUGGGUAAAGAAGCACCGGCUAACUACGUG
RNAcentral lists this ribosomal RNA (468 nucleotides) under uncultured bacterium. RNAcentral's name for it is "partial 16S ribosomal RNA". It matches the Rfam family "Bacterial small subunit ribosomal RNA", at positions 28 to 507 of the family's 1533-position model. The record is from RNAcentral.